RNAcentral lists this small RNA (28 nucleotides) under Bombyx mori (domestic silkworm). RNAcentral describes it as "ovarian small RNA-14933". Lineage: Eukaryota; Metazoa; Arthropoda; Insecta; Lepidoptera; Bombycidae. The record is from RNAcentral.
CUGGAGGGAAUCCAGUCUCGAGGGCGUC